GACGAACGCUGGCGGCGUGCCUAAUACAUGCAAGUUGAGCGCUGAAGGUUGGUACUUGUACCAACUGGAUGAGCAGCGAACGGGUGAGUAACGCGUGGGGAAUCUGCCUUUGAGUGGGGGACAACAUUUGGAAACGAAUGCUAAUACCGCAUAAAAACUUUAAACACAAGUUUUAAGUUUGAAAGAUGCAAUUGCAUCACUCAAAGAUGAUCCCGCGUUGUAUUAGCUAGUUGGUGAGGUAAAGGCUCACCAAGGCGAUGAUACAUAGCCGACCUGAGAGGGUGAUCGGCCACAUUGGGACUGAGACACGGCCCAAACUCCUACGGGAGGCAGCAGUAGGGAAUCUUCGGCAAUGGACGAAAGUCUGACCGAGCAACGCCGCGUGAGUGAAGAAGGUUUUCGGAUCGUAAAACUCUGUUGGUAGAGAAGAACGUUGGUGAGAGUGGAAAGCUCAUCAAGUGACGGUAACUACCCAGAAAGGGACGGCUAACUACGUG
Molecule: ribosomal RNA, 497 nt
Filed under: uncultured bacterium
Lineage: Bacteria
Description: partial 16S ribosomal RNA
Rfam family: Bacterial small subunit ribosomal RNA
Source: RNAcentral